AACGAACGCUGGCGGCAUGCCUAACACAUGCAAGUCGAACGAUGCCUCCGGGCAUAGUGGCGCACGGGUGCGUAACGCGUGGGAAUCUGCCCUUGGGUUCGGAAUAACUCGCCGAAAGGCGAGCUAAUACCGGAUGAUGACGUAAGUCCAAAGAUUUAUCGCCCAAGGAUGAGCCCGCGUAGGAUUAGCUAGUUGGUGGGGUAAAGGCCCACCAAGGCGACGAUCCUUAGCUGGUCUGAGAGGAUGAUCAGCCACACUGGGACUGAGACACGGCCCAGACUCCUACGGGAGGCAGCAGUGGGGAAUAUUGGACAAUGGGCGAAAGCCUGAUCCAGCAAUGCCGCGUGAGUGAUGAAGGCCUUAGGGUUGUAAAGCUCUUUUACCCGGGAUGAUAAUGACAGGACCGGGAGAAUAAGCUCCGGCUAACUCCGU
Molecule: ribosomal RNA, 432 nt
Filed under: uncultured bacterium
Lineage: Bacteria
Description: partial 16S ribosomal RNA
Rfam family: Bacterial small subunit ribosomal RNA
Source: RNAcentral